UCCGUGCCGGGGCCCUUGUGACCCCGGUGCGAGCGCUGACGAAACCCGAAGGCGAAAAGAAAUUGAAAACGAGUCCAGAACUCGUCGAGGGAAGAUGGCGACGGAUCCGGCCCUGCAAAGGGUGAGCGAUGAUCGGCCCGCAUUCCCGGGGUGCCUCAACCGCCGGCCGGCAACGGUUGACGAGAGGUGCGCCCAGAGCAUACACGCUAGGACCCGAAAGAUGGUGAACUAUGCCUGACCAGGACGAAGUCAGGGGAAACCCUGAUGGAGGUCCGAAACGAUUCUGACGUGCAAAUCGAUCGUCUGAGUUGGGUAUAGCGGCGAAAGACUAAUCGAACUAUCUAGUAGCUGGUUCCCUCCGAAGUUUCCCUCAGGAUAGCUGGCGCUCGGAGGACAUGCGAAGAACUGAGUCUCUUCCGGUAAAGCGAAUGAUUAGAGGCCUUGGGGCCGAAACGACCUCAACCUAUUCUCAAACUUUAAAUGGGUGAGAACCCCGGCUUGCUCGAGAUGUU
RNAcentral lists this ribosomal RNA (512 nucleotides) under Diclidophlebia lanceomedia. RNAcentral's name for it is "partial large subunit ribosomal RNA". It matches the Rfam family "Eukaryotic large subunit ribosomal RNA", at positions 674 to 1102 of the family's 3401-position model. The record is from RNAcentral. Lineage: Eukaryota; Metazoa; Arthropoda; Insecta; Hemiptera; Liviidae.